RNAcentral lists this transfer RNA (84 nucleotides) under Sarcina sp. DSM 11001. RNAcentral describes it as "tRNA_Pseudo_CGA". It matches the Rfam family "tRNA". Rfam says of the family: Transfer RNA (tRNA) molecules are approximately 80 nucleotides in length. The record is from RNAcentral. Lineage: Bacteria; Bacillati; Bacillota; Clostridia; Eubacteriales; Clostridiaceae. RNAcentral also lists the same sequence under 1 other name.
GGAGACGUGUGCUAACUGGCAGGCAGCCUGUCCCGAACACAGGUGAUCCGAAAGGGUUUGGGGGUUCAAAUCCCCCCGUCUUCG